UUCUUCAGAAUUUUCAACAAAGCUUCCCUAUGCCCCUCAGAGCUCAACAGCAAUGAUAGAAUCGAGAUUUUGGAAGGGGUCUGCUGCAGAUGGUCCACCAAUUUGUACUCGGACUUCUUGAUGAUUCUCAGAAAUUCUUCAGCAUCAUCAUCAAGUUUGUUUUCCGACCCCGCAGGCGCCGGUGUCACCACAGGAGUACUAUUAUCAACCACAGCCUUCCCUUUCGCCCUGGCUAAAGCCUCGGCCUUUUCUUUUUUCUCUUUUUC
Molecule: long non-coding RNA, 266 nt
Filed under: Lathyrus oleraceus (garden pea)
Lineage: Eukaryota; Viridiplantae; Streptophyta; Magnoliopsida; Fabales; Fabaceae
Description: Pisum sativum (pea) long non-coding RNA (PSAT_LNC009300)
Source: RNAcentral